Molecule: long non-coding RNA, 170 nt
Organism: Octopus sinensis (East Asian common octopus)
Lineage: Eukaryota; Metazoa; Mollusca; Cephalopoda; Octopoda; Octopodidae
Exons: 3
Source: RefSeq, a predicted model, not a curated record
CAUAAUGUGUGUUUAUGCGUGUGUGUUUGUGUGUGCGUGUGUAAUUGUGUGUGUGUGUGUGUGUGUGCAGAUAAUUAGACAGACAGUUAUGUCCUGUUCCUGACAAUAUAUUCAUAAUGAGGCAUUGCAAUGCAAACUAAUAUAAGACUCGUUAUCACAAGUAACACAAC